UUGCAGCCAAUUAAGCCAACCAUGUUCAUUUCCCAUGGAGGCCCAACGUGCUGCAACAUGCAAUGGCUCCUCAGUAGUGUAUGUAGCCUGUUGCUUAUACCGGCUGUGCUAAGGAACUUGGAGAUAGCC
Molecule: small nucleolar RNA, 129 nt
Gene: SNORA70
Rfam family: Small nucleolar RNA SNORA70
About the family: snoRNA U70 seems to be exclusive to mammals and is a member of the H/ACA class of snoRNA which contain H (ANANNA) and ACA box motifs. H/ACA box snoRNAs are involved in the conversion of uridines to pseudouridines (5-ribosyluracil) a constituent of structural RNAs (transfer, ribosomal, small nuclear, and small nucleolar).
Source: Ensembl